GGGGGGGGGGGGGGGGGGGCGGGGCACGGGCAGGGCGGGCGGGGGGGCCGGUUUGGGGGGGUACUCGGGGGGCGAAGGGGUGGGUGACACGGGAGUAACCUGCGCUUUACUUUGGGGUAGCGUCAGGCGGCUGGGGCGAAUCCCGGCUGGGACAUACUGCCGCCUGGUGGGGGUGGGGAAUGUUCGGCGGUUGGGGAUGGGCUGGCGGCGUAUCAGCUUUGUGGUGGGGUAGUGGCUUACGCACGCUUUGACGGGUAGCCGGACUGAGAGGGUGACGGGCCACAUUGGGACUGAGAGACGGCCCAGACUCCUACGGGAGGCAGCAGUGGGGAAUAUUGCACAAUGGGUGGAAGCCUGAUGCAGCAACGCCGUGUGCGGGAUGACGGCCUUCGGGUUGUAAACCGCUUUCGCUCAUGACGAAGCUUUGUGUGACGGUAGUGGGUAAAGAAGCACCGGCUAACUACGUG
This 467-nucleotide ribosomal RNA is filed under the name uncultured bacterium. RNAcentral's name for it is "partial 16S ribosomal RNA". It matches the Rfam family "Bacterial small subunit ribosomal RNA", at positions 38 to 507 of the family's 1533-position model. The record is from RNAcentral.